GAUGAACGCUGGCGGCGUGCCUAAUACAUGCAAGUCGAGCGAACGGACGAGAAGCUUGCUUCUCUGAUGUUAGCGGCGGACGGGUGAGUAACACGUGGAUAACCUACCUAUAAGACUGGGAUAACUUCGGGAAACCGGAGCUAAUACCGGAUGAUAUUUUGAACCGCAUGGUUCAAAAGUGAAAGACGGUCUUGCUGUCACUUAUAGAUGGAUCCGCGCUGCAUUAGCUAGUUGGUAAGGUAACGGCUUACCAAGGCAACGAUGCAUAGCCGACCUGAGAGGGUGAUCGGCCGCACUGGAGCGGAGACACGGUCCAGGCUCCUACGGGAGGCAGCAGUAGGGAAUCUUCCGCAAUGGGCGAAAGCCUGACGGAGCAACGCCGCGUGAGUGAUGAAGGUCUUCCGAUCGUAAAACUCUGUUAUUAGGGAAGAACAUAUGUGUAAGUAACUGUGCACAUCUUGACGGUACCUAAUCAGAAAGCCACGGCUAACUACGUG
RNAcentral lists this ribosomal RNA (497 nucleotides) under uncultured bacterium. Its description in RNAcentral is "partial 16S ribosomal RNA". It matches the Rfam family "Bacterial small subunit ribosomal RNA", at positions 28 to 507 of the family's 1533-position model. The record is from RNAcentral.